CCUCUCCCCUCACCCAUCCCCUUUCCUGCUCUCCCAGCAGCGGGGCAGCCCUAGGGCAGCAGGCAGCGAUUCCAGCGAGGCGCGGUAUAAAUAGGAGAUGUGCUGUAGCCUUGUGGAUCGCAGGUGGCACAGAGCAUUUAUCUUCACACGCGCCAGGGUGGAUAUCUACAGCUUACGAGUGGGAAAGGUCAGAGAUGCUGAAACCUUCCUGGCUUCAGGAUCUACACUCACAAUCUGAAAGACUCAGAGGAAAACUGGAUCAUCUCUGUGCAACCACAAAUGGUACCAAGUGGACAGAGAUCACGAGCAACUAACCUUCCUGCCUUUAAAGCCAUGUACCACACCUAAUCUCCACACAGUUGAAAGCCACAAGACACAUUCCACAGACGAAGAAAGAUACGAGUUACGGGACCUCCAAAAGCAAUUCACAAGUUGGAGAUCACAAACUCUCUCCAGGAUCCCGCUGUUUUACUGCCCAACUGGGCUGAGCUGAGCUUGCAGCUGGGACGCCGAGUGAGUUGCUAAUAUUGGCCUCCCUGGUCCUCACAGUGAGGGACGGAAAUGAUUCAGCGGUGCCCUGUGCCAGCUCGGCCCUGCUGUGCAUCAUACAUCAUCCCUCCUCAGCCCUGCAUUGAACUUAAGAGUGCUCACACGCCUGAGUACAGCUAAAUACUAAAAUUUUUUGCUGUCACUGUUAGGAGACCUGUAGAUUAAAGGUCUGUGGGUCUAUACUGCUUGCUGUGCUGAAGGGUAGAUAAACCCGGACCAGCUUCAGGCAAGUAGAAAUAAGCCUCAUAGGGGUCUUUAACAGCGGAACUCAAUUAGCUGCCUAAUAGGAAUAUUUGAGGAUUUUUAUAAAAAACCCCAAAAUUUCACUGGAGGGCUGACUUUGUAAGAUAGGUGAGGAUACCAGGACUUCUAAUUUAAAUUUUAUUGAUCACCAAUACUAAAAUACUUAGAUUUUUGUUCACAUUUCAAAACCUGUGAAAAUCAUAAUUUUCAUUAAUUUAUUAUUAUUAUCAUUAUUUUCCCAAAAUGUGCAAUUCCUGCAUCAAAAAGAACUAACUGGGUACCAUGUUUGAGAUGCUAAAGCUGUAUGAAUUCUCUAGAAAUAUUCAGCAUUCACUUGCUCAGAAUGGCAAGUUUCAAUGAGAUUUUCCUUGCUUUAAUUGGUUUGAGCUAGCUCUUUGGCAUUGUCUUAUAAAUAAUAGAAGCUACACACUGCACUUUUAUAACAUCAUUCAUCUAAGGAUCUCAUAACUUAAUUAAGAGGGACACUGUCAGGUUAAAAAUCAUAUAUUUUUCAUUAAGUAAUUUCCUUAUCUAUGUUACUAAUAACAUUUUAGGCUAUUAAGCUGAAACAAAUUCUUAAAAUCUAAUUUAACAUCUACUACUAGCAUGUAUAUAUUAUAUAUAUACACACAGCUGGUUUACUCUCUGGGAUAUUAAAACAGAUGUCCUGGCUUUACUCUUGUUUCAAGUUGGUUUCAUUUACAGAUUUUCAUGUGUGAACAAUGUUCUUCCUUGGGACUGGUAUAAACACUCCACAAGAACAUUUAAAUGCAAACAAAAAGCUGUACUAACAUCUAAGAAAAUAAAACAUAUGUUUUUGUUAAUAUAAGACUUGCAAGGAUUCAACAAUAAAACUUUAAUUUUGGAGAA
This is a long non-coding RNA of Pseudopipra pipra, 1662 nucleotides long. RefSeq lists it as uncharacterized. The transcript is spliced from 3 exons. The record is from RefSeq and is a predicted model, not a curated record. NCBI's taxonomy places the organism in Eukaryota, Metazoa, Chordata, Aves, Passeriformes, Pipridae.